RNAcentral lists this long non-coding RNA (37746 nucleotides) under Eucalyptus grandis. Its description in RNAcentral is "long non-coding RNA (EGRA_LNC002482)". The record is from RNAcentral. Lineage: Eukaryota; Viridiplantae; Streptophyta; Magnoliopsida; Myrtales; Myrtaceae.
AAAUAUCUGUUUUUCUUCAUAGUUUAAUGCAUCAUAACUUAUCCUUAAUUUCUCUUGCACUUUCUCAUGCGGUACUUUCUGUAACUUCUUUAACGCAUCUUGCCAAAAUGCUUGGUCCCGUCCACACAGAAGUNNNNNNNNNNNNNNNNNNNNNNNNNNNNNNNNNNNNNNNNNNNNNNNNNNNNNNNNNNNNNNNNNNNNNNNNNNNNNNNNNNNNNNNNNNNNNNNNNNNNAUGAGAGAGAGAUUCAAAUUCACACGGAGGAGAGUCCCUCCUAAAGGCAUGUCUACUGAACAAUAUCAAGGACUCAUCCUUAGCAAUUUCUUUGAGUUCGUACUGGCAGUUCACCUCGGCAUCAUCAAGAACGGACCUUAUCCUUGUGGUGAUUAUUAUCCUACUCCCCAUCUCAAACCAGUCAUAUUUCCCAAUCAAAGCUCUGAUCUGUUUGAUAUCAUCCACAUCAUCUAGAAGAAUUAGGACUUUCUUACGUUUAAAUCUAGAUCCCAAGAGGCUGAUUCCUUCAUCCUUAUUAGACGCUUGGUCUUUCUCUUUCAGAUCACGUAUUAAUUGAUUCUGCAAAUAAAAAAUGCCAUUGCAUCGCGAGGAUUCUCGAAUAUCUGCAAUAAAACUACGAUGCUGAAAUUGGUCGGAGAGCUUAUUGUGGAUGACCUUGGCUAAAGUUGUCUUACCGAUGCCCCCCAUUCCAUAAAUACCGACAAUUUGGGUAGCACUAGAGUUAUCAUCCAGCAAUCUAAAAAUAUCCUCCACAGCAUUAUCGAUUCCAACAAGAUCUUCGGUCACAACUAGCCGAAAGGCCUUCUUUAACUCACUCAAAACUUUUCUGACAACCCUUUUCACCAGAUCUCCUUCGCGGCUGUUUACAAAGCAUUCGAGUCGAAAAGGAUUAGAAGAUCAUAUUCUAUUAUCUCAUUAUCACAACACUAUAGCAUAUAAAAGUGAAAGCAAGCAAGCACAAGUAGAGGAACACACGAAUGUAUAGGCUCCUCUUCAAGCAAGAUCCUGUUGCAAGAAAGUAAACAAAGAUUCAAUGGAAAAUGAAGUACCCGUCAGCAGUUUUCUCCGAUUCCCAUCCCUUUAGGGAAGCCACUUCUUGAAGUGCUACUUUCCAUUUCUCAACAUCUUCCGGGUACUUCCUACUUAAACGGGAGAAAGCCUCUCCAAAGCUCCCUGUUUGGUUUCGCACAUGGGUCGGUUCAACAUGGUAAAAUAUGGGCAAAACAACGUGCCCGCUUUUGAUGCACUCUGUCAUCUCAACGAGCUCUUGAAGGCACCAUUUGCUCGAAGCGUAGUUCUGAGAGAGAAUCGGGAUCGAGAUUUUGCUAUUUUUAAUGGCCUGGAGAAGGUUGGUGCUGAUCUUCUCACCUUCGCGAAGCUCAUUGUUGUCUCUGAACACGCGGAUGCUGGCAUCGAAGAGGCCGUUGUAGAGGUGAUCCGCAAAGGUUUUGCGAGUAUCCUGACCACUAAAGCUCAAGAACACAUCGUAGCUGUCACUGCCCGUCGAAGCGGCGAAGGAGCUAGACGCACUGGCAUCAUCAAAUUUUCGACGGGCGCUCUUCUCGUUGCUUUGGCCAGAAUUGUGUGCGGGCGCUCGAUCACGUUUCAUUUUUACUCCUCCGAUGUUUUUUGAACCGAUCUCUCUGGUAAUAUCAAAGAACGAAAUGCCUCUAUCGGGUUGCCCAAUAGGACGACCGUGCAGAGGGUUCUUUUGCUGGUGCUUUACACUACAAGAUGCACAUGGAUCGGGAGGGAACGAGCAGACGAUUAAUAGAGAAAGACUGGUUUUAGUCGUUGCGUGUGAAGUCCGCGUCUCGCGACACCCAUUUCUGGGAAAGUGGGAUUUAGUUGUCGUGGGGCCCACGAUUUGCAUCAACCGUUGCGUCUCCUUUGCAAAGUGCGUUCCAGCUGUUCUCGUUUUACAUGGCGGAGCUGACAUUUUUGAACUAGACGUUCAUGCCUCGAAUGAAUGAUCCGUGUUAAAGCGACAAUACUUGAUAUAGCGAUGGCAUAAAAUAUUGAGCUCGUAAUUAUGAGCAUUGAUAAAUGCAAAUGACAGAUUAUUGUUUGGGGGCGAGCCGCUCUGAUUGGCUCUUUGCAUUCGUAGGUCCCCAAAAAAUUAUCGGACACUGCUCUAGUCGACAAAUUUACACUUGUAGACAUCUCAAAAAUGACUAGUAUCUUGCUUUUUCUCCAAUGGAUGACUUUUAGAAUCGGCGCUACCGACGGAAACAUUUUUAAUUUUGUAUUUUAGGGCUAAAUCAGAAGACUAAGAUCAGCAGAGUAAGCAAUAUGGGUAGGCUCUUAUUUAGUGUUAUGGUAGAGAUAACAAGAUGACCUCUGUGGAAUAAGUACAAUUACUGGAGCACACAGGCUAGUACAAUUAUUGGAGCCGACAGAGGGUCCUUUCGACUGAUAACAGUCUUCACCGCUGUCCAUUCCAGAGUGUAAGGUAUCUUUGGACUAGCGCGUCUCCUUUGCAAAGCGCGUUCCAGCCGUCGCUGUUCCGAAUGCUUCCAGUCUCGGCCAGAGAAAAUGUGAGGUAGCUUCGAAUUGUCACGUCAUCGUGGUCUCUCCCCAUUCGAAUUGUGACACUUAGAACGAAAAAGCCCCAAAAAAAAAAAAUUUGAAAAGAAAGUCGCGAUUAAAAUUGUGUGCCUUGCUGCUGUCGUUACUCUCUCCUCUCACUUUCAUCUUCCUUCCUCUUCGCCGUUAAGCUCACGGUCACGGAGAAGGGGUUCGACCCGGACGAAAAUGUACGCCCCAUGGUGCAGAGUAAAUAAGCUAUCGACUGCCUUUAGAGUUCACCUGUAUUUUAAGCAAACGCAACGGACAUUCUUUCUCAAAUUAACUUUUAAACGAUUUCGAUCCGCACGAACCUCAAUUUCAUGGCAGAGUCAGCAACUUUAUGGUGCCGCUAGGCUAACAGUCAAUAACAGUGAACUUUCCCAACCGUGUAUCCCAAAUUCAGCAAGAGAGGCGACCGAAAGGUCAAGUUCGGUCUUUUCGUCUUAUUUUAGCCGAUUUUUUUCUUCUGCUUAAAAGUUUAGUUUGGGUUAUGUGCAAUAAUUUUGCAGCGAUCACUUUAAACCAAAAAAUAGAAAACUCAAACACACUUUUGAUAUGUCAAAACAGGUUGUAAACUCAUUUCUUGAGUAAUAUAUGUGGGGUUGUGUUAUAAAUGAGUUGUUGGAUAUUCGAAGGAUCGUGGGAAAAUAAGUUUAACAUAUUAAAAUCCAACCAGAGUGGGUCAUGGACUGGGCCAUCUCUCACUCCUCUCAGUCUCGGUCCCGUGCAUGACAUGUCGGAGGGUGUGAAACUAGGGGUGAGCAGCGGUCUAGGGUCGACCCUGGACCAACCCUGGACCGGCCCAACCCUGCCGGUCCUGGUCCGGUUCCCAAGGGGACUGGGUCGGUCAUUGGUCCUGGAAUUCCAGGACCAACACUGUGCGGGUUGGUCCUCGGUCCUAAGAGUUUUGGGUCGGUCAAACCCUGGACCAACCCUGUAUAUUAUAUUAUAUUAUAUUAUAUUAUUUAUAAUUCUCUUAUAUAUUCAAACCUAAGUAAAAUGUAUGUUAUAUUAUAUUAUAUUGAAAUGUUCUAUCAAUAGUACUAAUAGUAAUUUCAAUUUAAAACUUUUGUUGGGUAUUAAUUAAGUGUCGUUUGUUUUAUUUUCAGGUGUUUAGAAGUUCAAGUGAAUUAACAAGAUGUGAAGUUAUAUAUUCAUGGUUUAUAUUAAGUAUUUUGAACUUUUUAUGGUUUAAUUGUAUUUUACUAAUGAAUUUCAGCUGCACUUUGCUUUUCAAUUUGUGUCAAAUGGUAGAAGUUUUUGAAGAGUGGAGUAGUACUGCAGUUGCUACGGUGAUUUGCUAGUCAAGUGGUGUGAAGCUCAUUUUUUGGUUGAGUGGACUUUACAUAAUCAAAUGCAGGAAAACGCUUUUGCAUAUGAUGUUAUGAAUAUUAAAGAUAGAUGAUUACAAGAACUUUCCAUCUUGUCUCAUAUCUCGAUGAGCGGUUAGCAGGUACGAAAUUUCUAUUAUUGUGUCAUUUUAAAUUUGCUAAAUAUGUAUUGGUAUUUAUAGUUUAGUUGCACAAUGUCGCAUUAUUGAUGGAUGUGUAAUUUGAAUUUGUAAGUUUACUUUUUUAGGGAGUAUAAAAAAUAAGACGAAAAAAAUUAUCUAUCAGUCCCGGGUUAACCCUGGAACCGGACCGAACCCAUUGGGUCGGUCCGGUCCUUGGUCCCAGGCUCAAUAGGGUCGGUCCUCGGUCCUAAAAAUUGAGGACCAAUAUUGUACGGGUUGGUCCUAGGGUUAGGGGGUGGCCCGGACCAACCCGGACCAUGCUCACCCCUAUGUGAAACGGCUGCCGCGUUCCGUGGAAGAUGGAAAUAGUUCUGAAAACUGUGGACCCCACAGUAAAAUAUCUUCGAGAAGCACUUAUAAAGUCGCAUAUUCACGGCUCUUACCUUCGCUUUCACAUUUUAAUUUUCUGCUAAAAUAGAAAUAUCAUUUAAUAUAAAAAAAUUGCGAAAAUAAACUUUCGAGUAACUGUUUUUUUAACAAAAAAAUGUCCUCAAGGGUUUUUUUUUUCUCAAAUAUGUUCUUUCCGGCGAGUUCAAGCUACCUUACGACAUCUAAAAACUCCUCAACUUCCACUAAAGGCAUAAGGGAAUCAAGGGUCGGCCACAUUUCAAUAAUAAAAAUUCAAAAAAACACAACGAAAGUUGAGCUUGAUAGAUAUAAUCCACAACUGUGCAAUUCGUACCAAACACUUCUCAAUUAAAUCUUCACUUCCGGUAUCUCAAAUUGAGUAGGCAAAAGAUCUUUAAUGCUUGAUUGUCGUGUUACUUUAUAUAUUUGGACAAGAUUAAGCUUCACAAGCAUCUACAAAAUAAAAACCAUACAUUAGUGAUAAGAUGCACAUUUCUCAAAUAAACUAUUGAGAUAAAUAUCUCGAAUUUGAAUAUGAUUUAUCAAGACCAAACUCAAAGUCGAAACUCAAUUCGUAAUUUACUUCUAUAUUUAACCCAAAACCAAAGCCCAAAUCUGUUUUAAGAUAAAGCUUGAUUGAUAAUUCAAAAAAUAUCUUAGAGUAUCAUACAUUUUAUAUGUCCUUAUUGGGAGUAUAUAGAUACCUCAAAUUUUAGCAACUACUUUAAGCAAAUACACCCAAUAACUCAUAAGCUAAUUGUAGCUGGACAUUUUAACUCUCUCUCUCUCUCUUAAAAUAAAGAAAGAUAAUGAAGAAGCUUUCCCAUCGCCUGAGGAGAAAAAAUAAGCAAAUUGAAUUAGACUUACUAUAGUGUAGCUUUUUGAAUGAGUUUGAACGCAUGUGAACAUAUGGAUGACUUGCUAUAGCAUGUAAUGAGAACACACGAUUGAACGAGACUUAUCGGCUAAAAGUUGCAUAGCUUUCUAAAUGAGUUUGUGCGCAUUUAAAAAAGUUAAGCAAAGUUGAACUAGACUUUCCAUUAAAAAGAAAAUAGUAAAGCAACCUUGUUCAUUUUUUUGGGGGCUAGUGAAUGCACUAAGGGCCUGUUUGGCAACUUGUCCAACAGUGCCAGAUUCUGAUUUUUUGUUCCCAGAAUCAGUUUGGGACGAGAAUCGCGUUUGGUAAAUUUUUUGUUCCCGGGAACAAAUUUGUCCCGGGAACAAUUUUGGACAAGAUUUGAGAAUCUAAAAAAAAUUGAUUCUACGUCCGAGAAUCAGAAAAAGAAUCAACACGGUAAAACCUUGUUCUUCUCUUUCAACAUCUUGGUUGCCAUUCGCCAUCGCCCGCCGCCGCCCGCCGCGGCCGCCGGUCCGCCGCCGGUCGCCGGUCCGGCGAGGUCGCCGGAGGCUCGCCAGGCCAGGGCGAGGUCCGGCGAGCUCGCCGGAGGCAAGCCUAGCCACCGGCGAGGCCCAGCCUCGCCGGUGGCCAGGCGAGCCUCGCCUAGCUGCCGGCGAGGCUCGGCCGACGAAGGCCGACCUCGCUGAGGGCCGGCAGCGCUCCGGUGAGCGUCGCCGACCCUCAUCUGGCCGGUCGCCGGGCGACCGGCCAAAUGAAGAAGAAGAAGAAGAAUAGGAAAAAAGGGGAAAAAAAGAAAAAAGAAAAAGUAAAAAAGUAAAGAAAUUAUUUAAAAUUUAUUUAAAAAUCAAAAUAAAUUAUUUAAAAUUUAUUUAAAAAUCAAAAGAAAUUAAUUUGGAACAUAAUCAAUUAAUACGGUACCAAACGCAAUUCUAUUCCAGAAUCAAAAAUUUUGAACAGUUACCAAACGCGCUUUUUUACCAAUCAGUUCCCGGGAACAGAAUAAAAAAGAAUCAGUUCUGAUCAGAAUCAGCUUCCGGGAACAGAAUCGUUACCAAACGCGCCCUAAUUGACUCUUUGCACUUGUAGGCUCCAAAGAAUAACUGACAUCUUGCUUUUUCCUCAAUGAAGGACUUUUUGGAAUUAGUGCUACAAAUGCAAGAGUUUUUUAAUUUUAUAUUUUUGAGUAAUCAGAAGAUUAAGAUUAGCACCGCAAUCACUAGCAUUGUAAGUGAGGGGUCAUGGUGGUGGAGUCAUGUGCUAGCCUUCUCCGAGAUAUUGACAUCUAACCUAAGGUGCCGUUCGGGCAGUGUACAGGCCAUGGGACCCCAACUAGCGUAAGCGAAAGGAGCGCCGGCAGAUCCUUGAUUACCAAAAGAAAAAAAAAAAAAAAAAAGAUCAGCAGAGUAACCAAUGCGGCAGGCUCAGCAACUUAACAAUGCUGGCAUCAUCAGCUAUACGACGUGCGCUCUUCUCGUUGCUUCGGCCAGAAUUGUGUGCGGGCGCUCGAUCACGUUUCAUUUUUACUCCUCCGAUGAUUCUUGAACCGAUCUCUCUGUUAAUAUCAAAGAACGAAAUGCCUCUAAUCGGGUUGCCCAACAAGACGACCGUGCAGAGGGUUCUUUUUCUGGUGCUUUACACUACAAGAUGACGAUGCACAUGGAUCGGGAGGGAACGAGUAGACAGAUCAAUAGAGAAAGACUGGAUUUAGUCGUUGCGUGUGAUGUGGGCGUCCUCGCGAACCACCCGUGCCCUUUCUUCUGGGAAAGUGGGAUUUAGUUGUCGGUGGGGCCCACCGAUUUGCAUCGACUGUUGCGGCUCCUUUGCAAAGUGCGUUCCAGCUGUUCUUGUUAUACACGGCGGAGCUUACAUUUUUGAACUAGACGUUCAUGCCUUGAAUGAAUGAUCUGUGUUAAAGCGACGAUGCUUUGACAUAGCGAUGGCAUAAAAUAUUGAGCUCGUAAUCAUUGAUAAAUGCAAAUGAUAGAUUAUUGUUUGGGGGCGAGCCGCUCUAAUUGGCUCCUUGCACUCGUAGGUCCCCAAAAAAUUACCGGACGCUGCUCUAGUUGAUAAAUUUGCACUUGUAGGCAUCCCAAAAAUGACUGGCAUCUUGCCUUUUUCUCCAAUGGAUAGCUUUUAGAAUCGGCGCUAUAGACGCAAACAUUUUUAAUUUUGUAUUUUGGGGCUAAAUCAGAAGAGUAAGAUCAGCAGAGUAAGCAAUAUGGGUAGGCUCUUAUUUAGUGUUAUGGUAGAGAUAACAAGCAUUGAUCUUUUUGUUUCUAUGGAAUGAGAGGUCUUUAAGCAAAUCGGCACUUGCAGAGUUUAUUAAGUUGCUGAUUCUGCACGAAUCCAAGGAAGCUCAGUGAAUGGACUGAGACGAAAAUUACCUCCGUAAAUUACAGUCCUUUUUGGCCCCGACGUUAAUAUUUGCAUCUAAUAAAAAAGAAAAAUAAAUAAAUAAAUUUAAUAGAUGAUAUUAUACUAGCCUAUAGACCCAUGCUAAAAGAACUCAAGAAAUAGAUUAAGGUAAACGAUUAUUCUAGAAGUGUACUUAAAGUCAUAUGAAAAGUGAUUAUACGCCCCUUGGACCAAAAGGAAAAAAAUUAAAUUGGAUGAAAGUGAACUUAAUCAUCACGACGUAUGCUCUUGUUGUUGCCCUUGACAAAAUUGCGUGUGCGCACAGAGAGAAGAAUCGACCCAACCAACACUGCAAAAGAGCGCCCAGGCACUAUGUCACGUUUCAUUUUUUCUCCUUCAAUGACUCGCCGACCGAGUCACUCUAUCAAUAUGCCAAGCGCAGAAAGCCUCUCUUUACUCGGGUUGCCCGGCAAAACGACCCACGGGACAAAUUAUCAGAGCACGAUAAGCUGAGCUCUAUGCAAAAGAGUACAAUUAUUGGAGCGGACGUAUCAGUACAAGUAUUGAAGCAGACAGAGGCUCUUUUAGCUGAGGGACUCUCUUGACCGCUGUCAGUUUCAGACCGUAAAAUAUCUUUCUGACUAGCGCGUCUGCUUUGCAAAGGGAGUUCCAGCUGCUUUUGUCCGAUUCUUCCAGGCCCGGCCGGAGCAAUUACGAGGUAGUCCCGAGUUAUCAAUGUCAACGCGGUCCGCGCUAUACCGUUUCUUCUCUCUCUGCUGUCGUUACUCUCUCUUUCCUCUCACUUUCGUUCUGCGCUUUUGGUCAUGGGGUAGGGGCUCAACCUGGACGAAACGUACAUUCCACGGCACGAGACUGAAAAAAUCACCGGUCGCCUUCCAAAUUCACCCAUAUUUUGAGCAAAUGCAACAAACAUCCUUUCCCAAAUUGACGUUUGAACGAUUUUGAUCCGCACCUAUAAGACUCAGAACCUCAAUUUCAUGCCAAAGCCAGCAACUUCGGGGUGCUGCUAGGCUAACAGUCGGUAACAGCAAAUUUUUCCAGCCAUGUAUCCCAAAUUUAGCAUGAGGAGCGACCGAAAGGUCAAGUUUGGUCUUGGGUCUUAUUUUAGCCCUUUUUUUUCUGCUUAAAAAUUUAAUUUAGGUUGCGUGCAAUCGUUUUUGCAACACUCACGUUAGAAAGAAGAAAAAAAAAAACUCAGACGCACUUCGGAAGUGUCAAAAUAAGACACAGACCCAAUUUUUUUACUUGUACGUCUGGGGCUAGGCUUUUAAUGACUUGUUAGACAUUUUAACGGUUUGGUGAAAAUAGAUUUAAAAUAUUUAAAUCUAGCUGCGUGCAUGACACGCCAGAGGGUGUGAAACGGUUGUCACGGUUGUCAAAACGGUGGACCCCACAAGAAUAUAUCUCCGGAAGGCCCUCUCAUAAAGUCGUAUACUUGCGGCCCUUAUCUUCACUUUCACUUUUAAAUUUUCUGCUAAAAUAGAAAUAUCAUUAAAUAUAAAAAAAAAAUUGCGAAAGUAAACUUCCGGGUGACUUUAGAAUCGACUACAUAUGUCCUCAAGUUUUUUUUUUUCUUUUUUUCAAAUAAAAUGUCCUUAAGGUUUUCACAUUUCAAUUUAUAAAACUUCUAAAAAAACACAACAAAAGUUGAGCUUGAUAGAUAUAAUUUACAGCUUUGUAAUUCGUACCAAACACUCCUUAAUUAAAUUUCACCUCUAUCGAGCAUAUCAAUUUGAGUAGCUAAAAGAUGUUUAAUGCUUAAUUGUCAUGUAUCCAGAUAUAUUUGGACAAGAUUAAGCUUUGCAAGCAUCUACGAAAUAAAAACCAUACUUUAGUGGCGAGAUAUACAUUUCUCAAACAAACUAGUGAGAUUAAUGUCUCAAAUUGAAAUACGAUUUAUCAAGACCAAUCUCAAAGUCGAAACUUUUAAUAAUUUAUGGAUGGCCUACAACACUUUUAUAUUUAACCCAAAACCAAAGCCGAAUUUGUUUAAAGAUAGAGCUUGAUUGAUAAUUCAAAAAAUCUAUUAGAGUACCAUACAUUUCAUAUGUCCAUAUGGGAAUAUAGAGAUACCGUAAAUUUUAGGCAACUACUUUAGGCAAAUAUACUCGGUAGCGAUUCUAACUUAGAAGAUGAUGAUAGUUGGACAUUUUAACUCUAGUUGAACUAGACUUACCAUAGCGUAGCUCUCUGAAUGAGUUUGAAUGCAUGUGAACAUGUUAAUAACUUGCUAUAGCAUACAAUUUGAACACACAAUUGAACUAGACUUCCUGGGCAAAAAUUGCAUAACUUUUUGAAUGAGUUUAAGCACAUUUGAAAAAGUUAAGCAAAGUUGAACUAGGCUUUCCGUCAAAAAGGAAAAUUACAGUCACCUUGCUUAUUUUUUUGGGGCCAGCAAAUGCAAAAGAGUCAAUUAGAGUGGGCUGCUCUGAUUGACUCUUUGCACUUGUAGGCCCCGAAGAAUGACUGGCAUCUUGCUUUUUCCCCAAUGGAGACUUUUAGAAUUAGUGCUCCAAACGCAAUUUUAUUUUAUUUUAUUUAUAUGUUUGGGCUAAAUCAAAAGACUAAGAUUGGCCGAAUUAAGCAAUGCGGCAGGCUCUUAUUGGGUGUUUGGUAGAGAUAUCAAGCAUUGAUCAUUUUGUUCAUGUGGAAUGAAAAGCUUAUUCAACAAACUGGCACUUGCAGUGUUUGUUCUUGGAAUGAGGUACGUUGCUGAGCCUACGCAAAUUGAAGGAAUCUUCAAGUGGACCGAGAUGGAGGUCUUCCGUUGCGUAAAGAAUGGGUCUGUCGGGCUAGUAUAAUGCGAUCUAUCACGCUUUACUCUUUCUUUCUUUCUCCUUGGUUUUAUAAGUCUAUUCUCGUGCAUAGUACGAUAAUAAUUUUGUUUUUUUUUUUUUCAGAAACAAAAAGCAAAGGAAAGAGAGUUUCCUCAUGCAACGGAGGAUCUACAUCUUGGUCCACUCUAAGAUCACUCUAAGAUCUUCCUUGGAUCCGCGCAGGCUCAACAACUUAACAAUGUACCCCAUUCUAGGAACAAAACAUUGCAAGCAAAAAGAUCGAUGCUUGGUAUCUCUACCUAACACCCAAUAAAAACUUGGCCGCAUUGCUUACGCUAUGGAAAGAUGCUAGUCAUUCUUUGGGGGCCUACAAGUGUAAAGGGUCAAUUAGAGCGGCCAACUCUAAUUGACUCUGUGCGCUUGCUGGCCCCAAAACAUGAGUAGGGCCACUUUAAAAUUUCCUUUUUAAUGGAAAGUAUAGUUCAAAUUGCUCAAUUUUUUUUCAAAUGGGCCUAAAGUCAUUUAGAAAGCUGUGCAAUUUGGCCUGUAAGUCUAGUUCAAUAAUAUGUUCACUUUAGAUGCUAUAGCAAGUUAUCAACAUGUUCACAUGUGUUCAAACUCAUUCAGAUAGCUACACUAUAGUAUAUCUAGUUCAAUUUGCUUUCUUUUUCUUCUUGAGCAACGGGAAGGCUUCUUCAUGUUAUUUCUUUAUUAGAGAGAGAGAGGGAGGGAGGGAGGGAGGGAGGGAGGAAUUCUCCAACUACCAAUAACUUUCGAGUUAUAAUGUAGAAGUAGAACUAUCUAAUUGUAUUGCCUGAAAUUUGAAGGUCUCUAGAGUUCUAAUAUGGACGAUUGAAAAUGUAUGAUAAUUUGAGAACUUUUUUGACUUAUCAAUCAAGCAAGCUAAUUAUUAUGAACACGGAAAAAAUAAUUCGGACUUUCCUUCACUACAACGUUAAUAAUCCAACUGAAAUUUCCACUUAUGAUAUUUAUUGUCUUCAAAUUCCUACAUAUUAUUAAUUGACAUUGGAACUUUCAGAUGUGGCAUGUGCACAGUACAUGUUAAGGAAAAAGGUUAUUGGGGUUAACUAGUGUAUAAUUAUACGAGUUCAAGUUUAGGGGAGGGGGAAUGCAAAUUAAUGAAGAACUUCAAAGUUAUGAGGGUAAAAUAACAUUUUCCCUAAAUGUAAGAAUGAGGUUUCACGUUCAUGGAACCUUAAGAGUGUCAUGAUAAUUUAUCUAAUUUGAAGUGAUUUUCCUCAUUAUUUAACGAUGUAGUUGCAUUUAAUCAUGGUUAAUAUUUUCUUCCGUACUUGGUUAGGAAAAUUUCCUCCAAUCAUAUCUUUGAUUGGUGUCUAAAUUAUGAACUGUAAACUUAAUUAAAUUUAAAUGUGAGUGGUCUUCAUAUUUGUAACCCACCAAUUAGAGGCAUAGCAUGUGAUAAGGAAAAUAUGGCCCAUUAGAUAGUAAUCUAUGAUGUAAGUAUCAUGGUGCAUGGAGAGAGAACCUCUAAAGAGUUUGUGACAAAUUUUUAGGAUUUCCAGUACACUUGUCAUAUUAUUUCAUUAAAGUUCAUAAGUUAAAAAAAAAAAAUCAAAUUGUUGAUGUUCUAGUGCAAGAAAAGAAAGUAAUAUUUUUUGGAGUUUAGAAUUAAGCUCAUAAAAAUCUAUUAUGUCCGUUGUAUAGAUCUAAAAUAGAUAUAGUGAAUCUAAUUUGUUAGAUAAAUGUAAAGUAAUGCUCCAAAAUCUAAUUUGUUAGAUAAAUUUAAAGUAAUGCUCCAAAGCACUUUCAUUGAGUGGCCACUAUUUUAGAUUCACCGCAUCUAUUUUAGAUCAUACAUUAGACACUAUUUAUUUUAUAAGCUUUAUUCUAAGCUCUAAAAAAUAAUGGUUUCUUUUUGUGCGGGAGGACAUCCGCGAUUUGCUUUUCAUUAACUUAUUAAUUUUAAGAAAAAAUAAUAAAUUUAGGACGCCAAAAGUAAUAAAUUUGAUUAUCGAACACCGAUGUUCUUACUUCUUCUUUUUUUCAACUUUUGGCCCAAAUGUUAUCAAUACUAUUGGCUUUGCAGUUUUUUUUUUUUUUUAAUAUUAGACAACUUAUUAUAAUGAUAAAUAGUUUAAUUAUGGGAUCUCUUGUUAUGCUUGUCUUUAAUUUUUCUUGAGGCUAUCUGCAAUUUUUAAAAGGAAGCUAGCAACACAAAAUAUGACAGUUGAGAAAUUAAGAAAAAAGGAGGAAAAAAAAGAAAAGCAAAGUGAGUUAGGUGUCGAUAAAGGCACAUCAACUCCUCAGAGGCUCCCUCUCCAAGCACCAAAAUACUUACAUUACAAAAUAUUGUCUAAUAGGCCAUGUUUUCCUUAUUCCACGUCAUACUUCUGAUUGAUGGGUUACAAGUUUGCAAAAUAUUCAUAUUUAAUUUUACUUAAAUUUACUGUCAUAACUUGGACACCUAUCAAAGGUAUGGUUAAGAAUCAUAAAUGAAGAACUAGAGAUUUGUUAAAGUGACCAUUAAAAGCAAAUAGCUGUGUAAAAUUUCUAUGUGAAUGUGCUAUGUGACUCAACCUCAUGUGAGGUUUACCCACUUUAUAUGAUUGUGCGCUUGCGCUUUGAUGGCAUCAACGAGUACUUUAGGCAAUUACAAAGUUUUCUAGCCACAAAUGCAGGCUUCUAUAGCCUCGCAUAGCUCCAACACAUGAGACUUAGCUGGAGUUAUUUUCAGGUAAUGCAUUUUGCACAUUUAGUCUGUCAGGUGAGAUCAAUAGGAAAUAAUGAGAUAUUAAUCCAUUUCAGGAAGCAUGAGUAAUUUGAGCUCUAGGGUGAUUUUCGCACAACCUGUAGAUGUGUGUGUGUGUGAUUUUCGCACAACCUGUAGAUGUGUGUGUGUGUGUGUGUGUGUGUAUUUGCUAAUAAUAUUUUCUUAUAUGAUUCUAGAUGUAUUUGAUAUUACAUAUUUAUAUAUUUAUUGACUUACAUACUGGAGAAGGAAGAAAAGCAAAUAAGAAGAAGGGGCUGGUGCCAUGAGACAAAUUUGACCAGCUUUGAGCAAAUUAAACGAUCCUCUGUUGGAACGGUGGAGUUUGAACAGGUAAUGCCGUGUCUCCGUCCAAUUCUUCUAUAAUUUCCUGUUUCAAUUUUGUUCAACUUGAAUUUGUGACCUUUAUUCCACGGCAAGUUGAACAUGGUUAUUGUCUCAGAUGGAUUACGUCUUCCCGAAGGCACAAGUUCAAGACGUGGAAAAGCUCGAGUCAAUGCUUUCAACCACAGGAGAUGGAGCACGAAGAUGUGCUGCCAAUUGAUUGUUGCACAGUUUGGCUAUGCUCUAAGAACUACAUGUACGAGAUGAAUCUUCCAAUAGGGAACUCAUCGAGGUCCAAAGAAGUGAAUGGAAAAUGACCGAAACAGCCUAUUCAUGAUCCACGACGCAAUGGACAACCAACAUCCUCACAUGAAUCAACGGCUAAUGAUGUUUGGAAAGGCGUCCGAUAGAGGCACGUAAAUGAGAACACUAGUAACAUCUUUAUUGGUUAACAAGUACCUCGAUUAUAAAAUGAUCAUUCUAUGCCUAUCACCGAUGAAGUCAACGAAUUGAGAGAUAUUGUAACUGCGUAUGCAGAUGUGGAUGAAUCAAUCUCCAAGACCUUUCUCGUUUCUAUUAUUGUUGGUAAACUUCCAUCUCCAUGGAAAGACUGCCAAAAGCUUUUAAGCAUUAGAAAGAGUCUUUUGAGUUUGGAUCGAUCGCUUCAAUGCAUUUAAGUUGAAAGUUAGGCCAGAAAUCAUGAUGUAUUUGAAAACCAAGCAAAAAGUGAACAACGUUCAUGGUGUUGAGGAACCCGCAUCUAGUAAUUUUAGUGAAUUUUUGAACGAGACUUGCUUUCGGAGUGGCAAAAUGGAUCAUGGGGCUCCCUUUUGCUAUGACGAAAGAAGAAUGAAGCCAAUUUGGCGGAGGACAAUGACGUGGUUGCGAUGAUCAUGGGGGUUCUCAUGGCGAACGAUGAUGAAGGUUGGUGGAUUGACUCCAGCGAAACUUGCAAUGUUAUUCCCCACAAGAUGAAAAAUAUUUACGCUCUCUCGGACAACCCUGUCAAUGAGUCGCCUGAUCUGUCAAUAUUAGGUUACCAAAAGUUAAGUUUCGUGCGAGUAUUCUAUCCCAAAGACAAUGAAGGAAUUCAAGAAGUUUGAUACAAGAUUACGUGUGCGUGUAUGCCCUGUGAAGAGAUGACAUGUUUCCAGGAGCACAUAAUAGCACGAGGCAACAACUCCAUCAAUGAUUUAGUGCAUGGUACCGACUUAAAUUGAUAUCUAUUUGUAAGAUUUAAGAGGAUUUCACUUCUUGCAAAUUGAGCUAUUUGGUACUGGCAAAGUGAAAGAUAGAAAAAAGAAAAAGAAAAAAAAAAAGACAGUUCUAUGAUUUUCUUUGAUACUUAACUUAAUUUGAUAAAUUAGUAAAUGUAGAUUUUUGACAUCCCAACAUGUCGUUUAUUCUGAUUUCGCUCAACAUAACAUCGCCAAAUUAAUAGGUAUAAAUUCCCUCUUGAAUGUGAAGAAGAACUCAUCCAUUUCCGAUGGAAUCAAGUGAGAGAAGGGAGAAUUAAACUUAAUUGAUUUGGUAUGAUAUUAAGGAAUGAAAAGUCGAAUUCAUGAUAAUUGAAGGUACUUUAUUAGAGGAGAAAAUAGUAAUUCCAUCAAAAGAAUAAUUUCAUGAUUACAAAAUAUUUCCUACAACCCAGUUAGACAAAAUUCCUUUCCACUUAUACUGUUGAUUGGUGGGUUACAAGCACAGAUCUCAAAAUUCAAUUUUGAUUAAAUUUAUAUGCAGCUCACGUCCAUAAUUUAUAACCCACCAAUAAGAGGUAUGGUUGAAGAAAAUUCUGCCUUUAUAAAAUUGGCUCGUUUUGUGUAUCAAAUGUUGCAUUGGUCUUUGAUGGGUGGGCUUAAACGACCAACAAAAAUUUGAUAAAUGCAAACUUUGCAAAUCAAUUUUGCUGACUACCCUUUGAGAUCAAUAAUCGUAACAUCAUCUCUUUGACGUAGACGAACUUAGAAACGACGGCAUGGCAAAAAAGCUGCUGCAAUAUAGGGAUGCUGUACAAUAUUGUGUAGACCGAAAGAGAACUUCCCACGCAGGAACCUUGUAAGCAGCCGUUGCUGCUGCUAUCCAUUAUGUUGAGUACGGUCGACUGAUUCGGUUUUGGAGUUUGUGGUGGUGCUGUUGCAACCUGAUGACAGUGGCCGUGGAGGAGCAGAGCAAAGUCAGCUGCUAUGGAGUGCGGAAGAAGAAGAAAGACCAAAGCGCAAAAAGAACAAAUAUGUGACAGGCUGAGUUUAAAAAGAACGUGCGACAUUUUCACCUAGUUAGACUUGUAAUGCAUUGCUAAUAAUUUUGUGACAUGGUGCAGAAAUCUCUCAUAGAGCGAAAUUUAAUAUGUUGAGACUUAUAGGUAAAGAUAAGUUUAGGUAUCUAAUGAAUAAAAGUCCAAGCAUUUGCAACAUCGUUAUCUGAAAAAUGACAGCAAGCGUACAUGUUGUCCAUCAUAAACGAAAUCAAGCUCACGAAGUUACCUUUUCUAUUUCUUACAUAUGAAAAAUCAAGCUCACCAAAUUUUUCAAUGAAUGGAUCAUAAGAAAGUUUUUUUAUUGGUCGGGUCAUUAACAUAUAAAUCAGUAAUAGCAAAUAUGUCCAGAAGGGUGAUGGAUAGAGGUCCCCAGGGUGGGUUUUUUUUUCUGGGGGGUGGAGAAAAACGCAGUUAGCCGAGGAAGACCAGAAGGUAAAAGGAAAACCUAACAAGCCAGGUUCUAAGAGUAAGUCGGAGCAAGAAAAUUUCGAAAGCUAAGUUAAUUCGGGCUUGUUCCAAGAGAUGUACCAAGUGAUGUUUUAGCCUCAGGUACCACUGAUAUAAUUUAGUAUCCAAAACUGGAAAAAGUCCUAAAUCUACGGCUUCUCUUCGACCAAACGUAUACUAGAAUGAAAUCCUGGUGAAUGAGAAGGAUCUCUUGAGAAGACUGGGAAAGCACUGAUCAUAAGAUGAGGAACAUGAAGAGAUUUCAAGUAAGGAAGAAGAAUAACCCUAUCAGAGCCAUCCUCGGGGUUGUCCAAAAAUUGAAGAGAGAGCUUGCCUUGCUCUUCCAACUCCUGAAGACCAUCGAAGCCAACAAUGUACGGCACUGGACGAGAGUUGAAGAAACUGAGAGCUUUGACAGUAGGUACUGUUGGAGUUGGAGGAAAAGAGAGAGCUAUGGCUGAAAUCUGGAAUUUGAAACGAGAAAAAUUUGGGAGAAGAGGUUGAAGACGAUGGAGUAUGCAAAAGACGAAGAUGGAAAGGUGAAAUCUAUGCUCUGAUGUCGAGGAUGCGAUCAACGUCCUCUUCUUUGUCAUGGAAGCUGCUUUGCUUGCCGAAAUAUAUUACCUAGCAUCCCUUCACUCAUUUCAUGAUCACCCCUUUCUUCUUUAAUUCUUUUUUUUCUUCCUGCUGUUUGUCUUUGUCUGUUCUUGUUCCGUUGCAACAAAUGGGAAAAAGAAAAGAGAAUACUGUAAAGCGCCCCUGUUUUCCUUUCCUGCAGAAUUGGAAGAGUAAUGGACACUGACUAUGGAAUUCCAUUAUAAUUCCAUAAACAAGAACCUAUAUUGGCCAUGGACGUCAAAAUUCAAGACCCGUGUACAAGUUUAGAAUGCCAAAUAAUGUGAAUUAAACAAACUACGCUGUACUUCGGUACUUAAUUAACUAAUGCUAACAAUCUCAUGAUGUGGACAAACGAAUUUGAUUUUACUAUAAGGGCGUCCAGAAAAGACAUUUGAAUCGUCGACAAACAGCUUUUUGACAUCUAGUCAGCAACUGUUCUAGCUUCCAAAUACGUUCUCUCUUGAACAAAAUAAUUUCGAAUGGAAAUCGUUGAAUAUUGACUUAGUUCAUGCCCAGCCUUGAUACUCCGCAUGUACGCCCUCGGUUUCUAAUGUUAAGAUGUUCAUAAGGAACUCGCUGUCAAGUGUCAAUCUUACAAAUCAGGAGUUGGAUAUAUUAUUCCAUAAUCUCAUGCUUUUUGAAUUGUCAAGAACAAUUUUAACAAGUUGCCACCUUUAUAAAUUGCAUCCAUUCAACAAGCUGCUUCAGAAACUGAAAAAACUAUCACUAUAAACGCACAUCUCGUGUCAAUCAUCGCUAAUAUUUUUGUCACAUGGUGCAUAAGUCUCUCAAUGAGCAAAAUUUAGAACGUUGAGAUACUUGUUAGGCAAAGAUAAGUUUAGGUGUCAUGAUGAAUAAAAGUUCAAGCAAUUGCAAUGUCAUUAUCUAAAAAAUGAUGGGCAAGUGAAUACGUUAUCCAUUAUGAACGAUAUCAAGCUCACAAGAUUACCUUUUCUAUUUCCUACAUAUGAAAAUCAAGAGCACGAAAUUUUUCGAUUAAUGGAUCAUGAGACCUCUAUCUCAUGAGCCUUCGCACGCUAAGGAGAGAAACCAGUAGUGGCAAAUAUGUCGAGGAGGGUGAUCCAUAGAGGCCCAAUUAGCAGAGGAAGACCAGAAGGUAAAAGGAAAACCUAACGAGCCAGGUUCCAGGAUUAAGUUCGAAGCAAGAAAAUUCCAAAGCUAGGUCGAUUCGGGCUCCUUCCCGGAGAUGUAUCAUGUGAGGUUUUAGCCUCAGGUACCACUGACAGAAUUUAGAGUCCAGAACUGGAACAAGACCUAAAUCUACAACUUUUCUUCGACCAAAUAUUUGCUAGAAUGGAAUCCUGGUGAAUGGAAAGGAUCUCUUGAGACUGACUGGGAAAGCACUGAUCAUAAGAUGAGGAACAUGAAGAGAUUUGAAGUAAGGAAGAAGAAUAACCUGAUCAGAGCCAUCCUCGGGGUCGUCCCAAAAUUGAAGAGAGAGAUUGCCUUUCUCUUCCAACUCCUGAAGACCAUCGAAGCCAACAAUGUACGUCUCGGGACAAUAGUUGAAUAAACUGGGAGCGUUGACAGUUGGGGCCGUUGGAGUUGGAGGAGAGAGAGAACUAUGGUUGAAAUCUGGAAUUUGAAAUGAGAAAAGUUUUCCAGCAUAGGUUGAAGAAGAUGGAUUAUGCAAAAGGUGAAUAUACGAAGUCGAGGAUGCCAUGGACGUCCUCUCUCUUGUCAUGGAAGCAGCUUUGCUUGCCAAACGAUACCUCCACGGGCCUGAAUCUCUGUCCACGUUCAAUGAUUAUAUUACCUCCAUAUCUUCACUCACUUCAUGACCACCCCUUUCUUCUUUGAUUAUUUUUUUUAAUCUUUUGGUGGGUUAGUUUAGUGUUAAGUAAAUUUUCUCAGCCGUCGAGGGGGAUUCUUGUUCGUGAUUCUGUUCAAAUAGUACGAGUGUAAAAGGGAAGUUUCAGUAGAAGUUCUCGAGAAGCUAGAGCUGAAGAAGCACCCUUAAUUGGCUAGUCGUAUAAAUUUAGGCGUAUACUUUUAUGUGAUUCUACUAUUUGAAUUCCGCAAAAUGCUUUACUGGGGCAGUUGCAAGUUCUUGGAGGCAUAGGAGAACUGUUAAAGUUUCCCUCAGUGAGCUAGUUUGUAUGUGGGUAAUCUUAAUUUUCGUCAGAAAGUGACUGCUAUCGCACAGCCGGGGGAGAGAGAGAAUUCAACAUGGAAUUGAGAGAAAUGUCAUCAGUUUCCCAGCCCAUCAUUCAAUAAUUAACUGCAAUCUCAGUAACUAUGACAAAUCAAUAUUUUCUUCUUCUUUUUUUCCGAUGCGGCUUGUUUAUGAGAGUCACGACCAUCAUAAAAGUUUCAGCGAUAUUGCUAAGUCUUGUCUACUUAGAAAGAUGAAUUGAGCGCCCACCAUUACCAAUUGACAACCGUAGGAAAUGUGAAAAAUAUGAUGCCUUUGACUGGCCACUUCUCCAAUUGUAUGGAAAGGUCUAGGCUUGAGCUAGGGAAAAAUGGAGUAUUUGCUAAUAAAAUUAUAUGCAAGUGAAAAGACUUCUUUUUCUGUUUUCUGUUUUCAACUUGUACGAGAAACUUUUGGGGUAAGCAUGUGGAAAGAUAUGAGUACCUAAAAGUUCAAAUAGACAUUAGAAGGAAAUAUUUUAGAAGAUGUUGUAUUGGAUCGAGCGAAUGGAUUAUUUUUACUCGAAAGCAAGUGCGUAGUAGAACACAAAAAAGGACCAAAUUCAAAGUUAAGUUUACUGAACUUCCACUUGGUAUUUCGCUUUUUUCCCCCAUUAUAGCAUUUUUCAGUACAUCCCUCGUCAAAAGGUAACCAAGAUUGAAUUAGUACUAUUAGGAUGAAUGACCUGACAAAUGUUCCCAUAUGGUAUUGUUCCUUUCUCUAUCAAUUUUGUGAUUUGAUGGGUCUUCGAAGUUGCGUGACAAAAGAUGAUCGAUCAUAACAGGGCCCAUUGCAUUCCUUUCAUCAGUAUUUAUUUAGUGUUGAUGCAGCCCGUUCCUGGGCAUUCGGGUGAGGACUUUGUCAUUAAUGAUAUUUCUAUUAGAAUUAUCCUAGUUGGCUGAUGUGUACGUGUCAUAUCCAUAAGAAGGCUUAAGCCAUCUUUCAUUGCACUCCUUGUGAAUGGGUUGCCAUAGAUUUUGGUUCAUAUCAUUGUGGGUCUUUAUUGGGUGGUGGAAGCUUCAGUUUGGGAAGAAGGAUUAUUAUAUGUGCUGGAAGGAAAAACAUUGUACAGAGAGGAUAAGAAGCCAUUUAAUUAGUUUCAACUUAGGGUUUGAAAAACCUUUUCUGCAUCAAAUGCCUUUAUGCUUGCCCUAUGAGAUGUAGUUGGGUUAAAUUGAACAUACAAGUGCGAGAAUUUGUUUACAUUUAACUACUCCUUUUCUCCGACCAAAAAAAAAAAAAACUACUCCUUUUCAGUUUAGGUUUUUAGGACCUUUUCAGCAUCCAUUGAGAAUAGGAGAGAUUUUUUGGUCAAAGUGGAACCGUACAUUCCGUAUUGUCAUUGCUUUAAAUUUCCAAAUAUACAGAACCUCAAGAAAGCAUGUUUGAAUAGGCCAUCACUUCCUUAAAUUGUGGGGGUUUAUUCAAGGAGUAAACUGUGCACACGGAAGCCCAUGUUAAUUAAAAUUUAGGCUGCUGUUCCUAUAGAAUUUUGACUAUUGUUUUCCACAUUUUUUUCCUCAUGUGUAAUGAAAGAAUUUGAAGUUUAUUGGGAAAGUUUGUCAUUUUACUGCAGAGACUGCUAUCUUGGGUGUCAUAACUGCCGUCAAUGAACACAUAAUUGAUACCGCCGCAUCUCAGAUCCACACUCGUCAUCUUGAGCCUUCUACAUUUCCUUAUUCGUUAUGCAUAUCUGCAUUGAAGGACUUGGAAACACUUGUUGAAGUCGUCGCACAACAUUACUAUGGUGAUACCAAGAACUAGGUUGCACGGACACUCUCUGGGACCCUUCGUGUCAUGUCCGACACUCCGACACGCUCCGACACGCUUCGACACGCUCCGACACGCGGUCAACGCAUAUCGGAAAAUUCGACACGUGGUCAACUACCUUCGACACGCUUCGACACGUGAGUCAGAAAUUCCGACACAUGACUUCAACACGCACAGAGUUAUUUUUAUAAAUUUUCAAAACUUUUGGGGUUUAAAUAUAAAUAUGUAAAAAAAUAAAAAAUAAUAAUAAAAGCUAAAACAAAUUUCUAAUACUCAUUUGAAGAUGUUAGGUUCUUGAAAUUGCAAAUUUUUCACUUGAUGAGCCGGAGAGUUUUUUUUUCUUUUUUUCUUUUUUUUCAGAAGAAGUAGAUAAUGUGGAUGAAUGACUUUUUGUUAUAUUUGAUGAUGGAAUGUUGAUUUUUUUUCUUAUUGUUAAAUUUUAAAUUUAAUAAUGAAAUGUGGAUUACUUGUUUUUCCUCCAAGUUUUAUAGAUUAUUACAAUGAAAUGUAGUUGAAUUUGUCAAAUUAAAAUAAUGAAUGAUAUUAACAAAUGUAUUAUUAAUGUUUUUAGUAUAGAUUAAUUCUAGGCUCUUUUUAUUUUUAUUAUUUAGUUAUUUAUGCAUUUAUAUAUUAAAAUGUUUAUUUAAUAUAUAACGUGUCGGAAUGUGUCGAAAUUCUCUACUUUUGAGAAAUAACGUGUCGGCGUGUCGUGUCGUGUCGCGUCGCGUGUCGCGUGUCCGUGUCGGUGCAACUUAGACCAAGAAGUGGAACUUCAUUGCAGCUACAGAGGCUAUUAAGUGAGUUUAGAUGAUGUUGGCUGAAUUUUCAUGUAGCCAUAGUUUGUGUAGUUUCCUGAUGUUCUGGUAGUCUGUUUGAACCAGGUUUUUGGUUAGGUUAGCCAUGUUUAGGAAUGGUGGCUAUAAGAUGCUUCUACAGGGCGGAGAGAUUCUAAAUUCUGAGAAGGCAUCAGAAGUUUCCUCCUCACAGUCCAGACCUGGAGAUUCCAGAAAACCUGGAUUUUAUAGUGGGCCUGGUUCUUUCAGGAACGGCUUUGGGCAGAAUGGGUGGAGUCUGGAAGGAAGAGCACUGUCAGCGUUAAGCAGAUUUGGAGAGAAUGCUAGAAUGGUUUCUGACCCACUGUGGUUGCGCAGGGUGCAGCAAUAGAAUGCUAUUAUGGAAUCUCUUGGUAGGCAUGCCAGGAGGUUGUUAGUUGAACCUUGGUAAAGUUGUAUGAUGUACUUUUGCUGAUACAUUUUUGUUUUAUGACAGCUCCAAAGGCAGAGAAAUCAACAUUGUCAUCUACUUUGUCCGAGAGGGGUGUUCAUGGAUCUUUAUUUCUCAUGGGGGAGAUCCUAUUUAUUGCAAGGCCACUAAUCUAUGUUUUGUUUAUUAGAAAGUAUGGAACUCAGUCCUGGACUCCUUGGUUUCUUUCACUGGCCAUGGAUGUGGUUGGCGUUGGCAUCUUUCCUCAAGUUACUUUGUCUGGGUGGGGUAGUAAAACCAUAAGUUCAAGUACACCACUUCAGAAAAAGAUGAGGUUAGAGUCUGUAGUUAUGUAUUCGUUCAUUUGAAUUUGUCCAUUUAGCAUGCAUGCCCUGGCUUACAUCACAAUGCUUUUGGACUGGCCUUACUUCAGCCAUCUAAUGUCCAGAUUAAUGAUUCUCUCAAGAUUUGUCAACUUGUGUUCUUUUUCCCUGUUAAGUAGUUGAAAAGAAGAAAGCUACUCUGGGCACUCUACCUCAUGAGAGAUCCAUUUUUUAGCAAAUACACAAGGUAUACUUAUAGCUACUAGAAAUUAUAUCCAGGGCGAAGUUUACAUUUCUGGGAUGAAUCUCCUCAUGGAAAACCACGUUCCUUCUCUGAUAUUUCAGGGAAAGGCUCGACAAAGCAGAGAAAUUGUUGGAACCUGUUCCCCUUGUUGGGGCUCUUACAGGUGUUCAUUUGUGUCCAUUUUGCUUCUACUUUUCACGUUGGCUAAGAUAAGGCUACUUAUUAUGUUUACUCAUGCAGCGAAAGUCAUAGAGCUGAUUGUGGGAGCUCAAACACGGUAUACAUACAUGUCGGGCUCAUAAGAGUGAAGCCUUAGAUAGCCGUGCUACACUUUGAGCCGCCACACCCACCAGAAACAGAAUACAAGGACUGUAUCCACUAUCCUUGUGAGUUACUAGAAGUUGAGGGACGAUGUCUUGGCGACGAAGAUUGACAGUUUGAUGUUUUUGGAAAAUAACGCAAUAACUGGUGAGUUCUGCUGCAGAUCUCCAAUUGUACACUGGUUUCUUGGUUUUGUUGGAAAUAGAUUUUGCUUCUAGCUUGGAUUGCAUCUGGGAGUAAGUUCUCAUUGUGCAGACUUCACUUCAGAGUUGGGUUCGAUCAUGUUCAAUUUUCUUGGGGGGUUUGAGGAAGAAAAUCUUGUAACCCCUUUAUGCCGUCCACUAAUUCUUCUUCCCUUUCGUUUCUUUCCUUGUUUAUUUUUAAGCCAAGCCCUUUGUUUAGAUCCCUACGUACAGAAGAAUAUUGCAGUCUGUUUGAUAAUGGAGUGACAUCGUUUCUUCGGUUCAGAUGAAAGAAACCUUUAGAUUUGAGUAAGUGGAUUUUGUUCUAUUAUUGAUCAGAGUUUGUCUAUCUUCUCACUACUUAUUAACAUCUCAAAGAGUCCACACAACACUUCCCAUGCGUGUUAAAAGACUUAGAAGUCACAGGGUUCUAUGAUGUCUGGAGGGAUUGAUUCUCCAUCAUAAAAAUCUUGUAUCCUAGCGUAUUUUAUCGUACUUUCUAUUGAAGUGUCGUACCACACAAAUAUUUUAAAGUUUUUCAAUGAACAAUUGAGAUUCGUUCUUUUGCCAUCCUAUGGUUAAGAUCCUCUGGGAUUCGUGUAAGUGCCAAGGUGUUAUAUUCACUUUCUCCUCUUACACGCAUCAAGUACAUAUAUUAAAUUGAGCCUGAAUACCGACGAUGACAAGAUUUGUGUAAGUCUCGUGUAGGUCUCCCAGAUCUGAUGGUCUGGAAUUGGAGUUAAGGUCAUGUGUCUAUAUGUUGGGUUACUGAACGUUAGCGAUAGAAAAAUGGGUAGGAAAUCAAUGACGUCUCACUUGGUCAUUAUCAAAUUCAUAAGCAAGGGGAAAAAUUAGGAUAAUAAUACAAAUAGUGUAUGAAUUUUAACUCGAUGUAUAAUGUUAUUCCAGACUUUUAAUUUAUUUAAUGUCAGUCUAGUCCUCGCUGGUUAUCUUAUAUGGUACAUUGUUAAGUCAUGACUUUAAACAUGCAAAUAUUUAUGACUAAAUUGAUAAAAAUGAAAAAUUUAGAACUAAAUUGGAAUAUAUAGGAUUGAUUGGAUAAUUUUCUUUUUGGGGGAGAGACUCUGCGAUGGCCUCGAUGCUUGUUGCAUGAAGCAUGACGCUUGCAUUCAAGCCAAAACAAUGAGUUUCGACAUCAAUAUAUCCAGCUUGUUCUUCAUCAAAUUGCUUAAUAUGACUAGUUGUUGGCCCCUGCAUUAGCAUGGACAUUUUAUGAGGAUGAAUGUGGGACAGUUUUUCACUGGCGAACGAUAUCUUUACACGUCUAUAGACUCUAUACAUGCAUGGAUGUAUAUUCAUGAUAAAGUGUAUGGCGGAGUGGAUUAAGAGAAAAUGGCGUAAGGGACUAAUGGGUCAAAUGAAAGAAUAGACACUAAUGGCUAUUGGUUUCGCAAUUUCACUAAACCUUCUCAUCAUUCACAAGCCAACUUUAAUUACGGUCAUUCUCAUCAACUCUUUCAGAACAACAUCACAAAUAUUUUGGCUUGUCAAAUGGAUGAAGGGAUGGCAAUGAUGAAGAAAUUAUAUUGCGUGAUGGUUUAACUUGAUCUUUUAUUCAUAAACAGGUUGUAUCGCCCACAUAAAUAUAUCGAAAUCUGUAGGGGUGAGCGGUUCCCGGUUCCUUACAAGUUCCGUCUAAAACUUUGAGCCAACCCUCGGGUACAGGUUCCUCAUAUUUUGGAACCUGAAACCUACCAAUCAGAACCAAUAACCUUAAACCUACCAUGUCACAGUUUCCAGGGUCAGUUCCAGGUUCUAUGUCACAUUUUUAGAUCUGAACUAUAACAAAGAAGGAAAGACACAAACCAAAGCUUCUAUGUCAGCUCAAGCCAAGAUCAGAAAAACGAUGGCAACUUAGCGACUUUUGUUGUGACAAACACAAGAAAAUCACUGAUGCAAACAACAAACUUCGACCAAGCAUGAGUUCUCUUUGUUAUUAGGCUCUGAAUUCUGUUUUGGUGUCUCAGGACUCGUUGCUCGGUAAAACAAAAUGAUCAGAUAAAACUCCAUAGAAACAAUAGUUGGCUGUUGGUGUAUUUCCCUAAGCAUUAAUUUAUAAGUUAUGGCGUACUUUUGAUAGAUUUGGGUAUGAUGACUUCUCGUAUCAGUGGUGAUUUCUCAAAAGUGGAACUGAUAGCUGCCAUAACUGAAGAUUUGGAAGCUAGUUUCGUUGAAUCAAGGGUGACAGACUUUGGAAAGAUCUUCCUGACAACUGGUGGUUGAGUUGAGAGAUUUCUUGCAUUUGGAUUCUCGAAAUUAGCAACUGGUGCAUUGAAAGAGGAGACCUGCCCCUUGAAUGGUUUGCCUUUCCUCAUUAUCAAUUGCAAGAGUAUUCACCAUGCGCAGUACUUUUGUACUUGUGGCAGAAAAAUCACCAUGACCCAGCUGCAGAAAAGGAAAACAUGUUUUUAGUCAAGUGAAGCAAUAAACAAAUAUAAAAAAGAAAUGUAAAAAAGAAAUAUAAAAAAGAAUGAAGCAAAAAUGAGUCCCAAAGUGAGCAUUACUGUGUAAUAGUUAUGUGAAGGCUUUCAUCGAGUCAAACCAGAUCUUUGAUCAUAAAAGAUGAAGCAACACAUCUUUAGAUUCCUCCAGGGAUACAACAUUUGUAUUGGUGGAAGCAUAACCACUGCCUAAAGGCAAAGCAAUUGCCUGAUGGGAAGACACUUUUCCUUUUUUUGGCCCCAUAAAAGAUGCCAGGACAUAUUUCCUCAUUUUUGCACUCGGUAUCUACGUAGGUCACAGAAAUGUCCACAACAAUUGCACGAUGUUAAAUUCACAUCCAUUAUUAUUUUAUGCAGGUUCAAGGCUAUCAUGGGUGAGGCUAGCAUGAACCAAAAGCUACUUCAUCACAGAAAUCUCACUGUUUCUAAUAGAUACAUCAAAUCAAGAUGCACGUGCAACCUGUGUAAGCAUAUAGACCUAUUAAAGAUGAAGACGCCAGUCUUAUGCACACAAAACCACAGAGCAAACAGCAGCAGUAUUAACCACAAAAAACAAAUGGUGUGAUUGCCCAGAUCACAGAUCAUUUGGCAACCUAUAGACCUUUUAGCAUAGCCAGAUACUUCACUCUAAUAAGGAAAAGAGUUGAGCCAACAGAAAAUGAUGCGAAUUUGCAAACUCUUAAAAGACCUUACCUUUGACUCCAAAAGAGAAAUUUCUGAUCUAAGCCGAUCACUCUCCCUUUCCAGUGAUUUUAUCCUUCUUGCUUCAUUAUUUAGCCUCUCAUUUAGUAACUUAAUCUCCUCCCGUUGCCGAUUAUUAGCUUCCUUUUUGCUCAUUUAAACUGCUCUCCAUUUCUUUGAUACAGCAUUCCUUCUUGGCAAGAGACAACUGCAACUCCUGUUCCAUAUAAACACAGAGGAUUGUCAGGAUAUGUGGCAAUAGCAUUAAAAUGAGGGACAAAGAUGACGGUGAACCGCAGAUUGCAGAAGUUUACAUUUGCCACUUUACUCCCAGUUUCAGCUUUCUCUGGCUUCUUCAGCUCAUUGACAAGAGUUUGAUAUUUAUCCCGCUCCUCAGUGAUCACUGAAAGCUGUGAAAGAAAAGCAAUAUCUACUCAAGGGGCACAGAACAUGUCUAUAUGGGGAGCAGAGAAUGACCAGAAAGUGAAAAUAGGAAAUAACACAAAAUGAUCUAAAUAUGACAAUAAGGUCAUGUAACCGCAAGAUAACUUGCAAACCACCUCCAAUAAUCUGAUUUAUGAAAUCUCAUCAGAUACUGAAAAACACAUUGAAAGUAGAUAAACCGUUCUCGUAGACCUUCAUCGCAGCCAACUUAUGAAUAUCCAAUGGAGCAGGAAAAGGUAAAGCAACAAUACAAACCAAACCUUCAAGCAUCAACUUAAGAACAUCAAAAAAAAAAAUAUAUAUAUAUAUAUAUAUAUAUAAGAAAGAAUCUACUCUGCAUCUAACCAUAUAAGGCUUCUGUUUCCAGAAUAGCACCUGUUACAUCAAAUUUGAUCUUGACAUUCUGUUUCUCUAUUUCCCUUCACGGUGCUAAGAUGAGCAUCAUAAUCAGUCAAGGCAGGUGCAUAUUGUUUACUUUAUGAUGCGGAUUUCCCAACAUUUGGCUAUCAUUAGCAUUUACAAGUCUUGGGCCAUGUAUAAUUUCAUUCUGUUUAUGCAGAAACAUUCUGCCACAUACAGGCUCUAUUACGGUUGGUGUUCAUCAUCUUUUAUGAACCAUAAACAAUGAUUUUUAAUUUACAACUCAAAAAUUGCUCAUGCAGCAAAGGCUUUCAAUUAUGGACCUAAACACAUGAGCAGAACAGAAGAACAUGUAAAAAUACAUGGGACUCAAAAUACCAUGCCACCUCUAUGCCUCAAGUUGAACCAUACCUCUCCAAUGGUUAAAGCAUGCAUUUUCAUCUUGGAGUCAACUUGUUUUGCCACCCAGACAAAGAUUGCUGAGUGACAAUCCAGGACAAAUAUAUCUUCGGCCAUCAAAUCAUUCUGACUAAAAUUGUGUAUUUCUGUCACCUGCAAUAACAAUAUCAGAAUGGCUGUCUAAGUAAGGACCUCAAUAACAUGCUAGCACAACAAGUAAGAAUAUAUGCAAGCAUCUUAAAGCAGUGGCAAUUGAAAACAAAGGAAGACAUUAGUAAAAUGAGCAGAAUACUCUGAGAUGCCUCAGUUUUAGGAUACAGCAGAAUAGAGGCAAGCGUUGGAAUGAAUGCUUAUGAUCAGCAGUAAUAUGUAAAGAGGUCAGUUAGGGAAAACUACAAAAAUAAUGGCAAAAGAUGCAACCGUUUUAAAGGUUGGAGCGAAGGGGUUGGCCCAAAAGGGAGAAAAUCUCAAGCAGAGGAGGGAUCAUGGAUCUUAUUUUGGGCUAGACAGGGUGCUACUGGCAUGCGUUGUUCUAGAGAUCAUAUUCCACUAUCAAUUGCCAGAAAUUCAUCUCAUAAUUCAGCUGAUCACUCCACUGCUUUGUUAUCUUGAUUGACAGUCUAAUAGACAACUCCAUUCUCCAGAAUAUCAAUCAUGAAAAGCUACAGAUAUAUUCAGUGUGUACAUCUUAGUAGAUUUUUAUUUAUUAUUUUUAUGAGGUAAAUGGAAAAAGAAGAAGCAAACAACUAGGUAAAUGUCCGUGACAUGGUUACACCAGAUUUACAUGUAAUAUUAACGAUUACAGCAGUUUACAUUGCUCAGUCAGGUGAGAAGAUACCUUAUGGUGGUUAUUCGGCAGAACUGGAUCUGCUUUUCCAAGAAGCUUGUCUCCUCUCCGCCAGGAAUUGAGCCUUAUUUCCAACACCAAGCUACGGAGAACUAUGGAAGAAGCGUUGGCCUAUCCAGUAACCCCCCAGUGGGAAUGAAUUAGGCAUUACAAACAAAUACCACUUUGUCUACUGCAGUAUCAUUGGCCAAUAAACAACAAACGAAUCUUCGAUAAUGCUUUGAUUUACAAUGAUAGGGGUACUACAAGAUGUAAUUGUAUCUGCCAUGACUUAUAAUUCUUCCUGACUUGAAGCACAAGGCUGGAGAGAAUAUUAUUUGCAGACAUCUACUAGUCUACGGGCAGGAACUACUAAAUGUGUGGCAACUCAUAGAAAAGGAGUUACUGACCUUCAAUAAUGACUAUAGUUUUGGAAGACCUCCACUUUUGUUUCCUCGCUGUCCUUAGAAUACGAGCCGUCUCUACCUUGACUUCAUCUGUUAUGGAGCUACCCUUAUCUGCCCAAGGAAUUUUGAUGAGGGAUAGUGCUUUUUUUAUAAACAUCUAUAUAGCUGCACAAAGCUGGAGAUAUCUUUAAAAUUAAUCUGUUUACUAGCUUUCAUGAAUGGUAUCAGGUUUGUGGAAAAUAAUAACAUUCUACAUGUCAAUCUUAAGUGGAGCUGAUGGACUUAAUCUUGGUCCCGAAUGCCUUUGUAAAUCUGGUGAUACUUCCAUUUACUUCCCAACUAGUAGCAGCUGACGGGUACUUAUCAUUCCAUAAGGAAUAGAAAUUAGUUUUACCCGUCUCCCUGUCAUCAAGCAAGCAAGGAAAUCCACUGUCAAUCUCCUCAUCCGACUCAAUGGCAAGUCGACAGUCUCUUUCAUCCACCCUGACCUGCCGAGAAUGCCACGAGUAAGAUGAACUUGCCCUUUGACCAGGUGAUAAGACCAUAUGUGCAACAAAAUCACUGAGAUGAUUUCAAGCAACUCAAGACAACUUGUACCAAUCCUUCAUUUGAAGAAUUGACAAGCAUGUCUUAUUAUCGAUUGCCACAUGGUGAGCAAAAUGAAACUUGAAAAAGCAGAAACACCUUUCUGUUUGAUAACACAUCUUUUUGCCCAUGCUUCAUAAUUGGCAUAUUAGAAGCAAAAGUUGCUUUUGCUGACUUCACUGACGUCCACCCCCCUCCUAGUUCUGUCUUUGGUACCGAAUUGGUUUGCAAAUUUACUUUCGAAUUUGCAGCUGAACUGAAACCAACAAUUUGAUAUUUCAAAAUGCUUGGGGACACAGGACAGAAGAAAAUCGGGACAAGCAAAACAUAAGUAGGCAAGCAAGCAGGAAGCACAUUUACUAAUCAAAACAUGCAUGCCAUCCCAGAUCAGACAGAGGCAGCAAGUGAAAGAUCCAUCCUAGGCCCAGCUAAUUACAAUUCAUGUUGAGUUAGAUUGUGUUCUUUUGUUAUGUGUGUUUAUUAAAAAAAGGCGCACGCACACAUAGAGACAAUUAGAGUAAUUUGACCAGUGAAUAAAUUCCAUCCUACAUAUUUCGAUAAUUUUACGAACACCAUGUGAAGGGGAAAUUAGAUUCUCCACAUGAAAUGUCUUGAUUUUAACAAAAGAUAACAUCAGUGUGUCUCAGCUCUGACUGCAGAGAAGAAAAAAGCCUGCAUAUAGUUGUUAAAAGUGUCAGUACGCUGGCUACCCAAAUAGGCUUUUAAACUCACGAGUGCAGAUUUUGAUGCAUACGAUUUCAGUUGUAUCGAUUUCUCAUGAAACAUUCACUUCCGAUAUUCUAAGCAGCCAAAACGAUGAGUCCAGGCUUGACAUCUCUGAGCUACAAACUACUUAACCUUGCUAACAGGGCUGCGAUGAUCUAUUUCUCUUAUUCAGAAACGCAAUCAACAAAGACAAGAUCACACACCUUUGUAAUUGUUGUGCAUUCCUUUGUGGGAGAGCACAAAUGACGGUACCACUUGCCGGCGUUCGAGAACGAGCCUCCGGGCUUCUCGAGAACCGCGGCGUACACCUUGAUGUCGUCCUUCCUCCUUCAUGAGCUGAUCUCUGCCAUCGAAAACGACGCCGAUAAACAUCCUAAACAAGCAAGGGGGCCCAAGAUGCCGAAUCGACCGAUCGAUCCCCCGUGCGAAGAACAGAGAGAGAGAUUGAAGUGUUGCCCGGAGAUGUAGGUCUUGCCGGAGAGGAACUCGUCGAGGGACUUGAGGCCCGACUCCGUAUGGAGAUUCGUCGAGGAACUCGUCAAGGGCAAGCAGCGUCGGGCAGAGACAGAGGAGAACUGUGAGUGUGAAGUGUGAAGCGUGAAGUGAACUGAGUGAGAAGAGAACUGAGACUAUGGUAAACAUAAAAAGAGAACCGGAACCGGUCUCUUUAGAACCGGGAACCGAAUCAGACUCUCCGGUGUAGUUCUCUGAUUCCCGGUUCUACUCAAAAAUCGCUCACCCCUAGGAAUCUGGACAUUGAGACCUAGCGGGUGUUGUACAGAUGAAAAUUUCAGCCAGAGUGCAGUCAAAACUUACUGAGCUGCAUGGCCAACUUUGAGGCCCGACUCCGUAUGGAGAUUCGUCGAGGAACUCGUCAAGGGCAAGCAGCGUCGGGCAGAGACAGAGGAGAACUGUGAGUGUGAAGUGUGAAGCGUGAAGUGAACUGAGUGAGAAGAGAACUGAGACUAUGGUAAACAUAAAAAGAGAACCGGAACCGGUCUCUUUAGAACCGGGAACCGAAUCAGACUCUCCGGUGUAGUUCUCUGAUUCCCGGUUCUACUCAAAAAUCGCUCACCCCUAGGAAUCUGGACAUUGAGACCUAGCGGGUGUUGUACAGAUGAAAAUUUCAGCCAGGAGUGCAGUCAAAACUUACUGAGCUGCAUGGCCAACUUCGAGAACUACAAAAGGCGAACGUUUAAAGGAAGCAAAUGCUAAGUCGAGGAUGUCGUCAACGUCCUCUGCUUUGUCACGGAAGCUGCUUUGGUUGCCCGAAGAUACCUCCACAGGCCCUCAAUCUCUGUCCUUGGUCAAAUUCGACACAUAAAUCUCAUCGAGAAUCCAAAAUGGUUAGGGAAUCUUGUGAAGAGAAUAUAGCAAUGUACAAAAAACAUGGUAAUAACUUACCACGAAAAAAAUUGUUGAGGGAGUGAGAUAACUUUAGUUGAGGGGUUUCUUGAAAAGUACAUAUGGCUCAUUUGAGGCAACUGUUCUUCCAUUUGAGCAUCUUCACGUAUAAGAUGAAAUCGAAAGUAUUUGCAUAGGUGAAUAAACAAAACCACAUAGAUGUCAACUGAGGAAACAAAUCAUUCUUCAAGUUCAGUAAUUCCAGAAAAUUAUAACUCUGAUUUGCUUGUGAUAGUCAUUAACAGCUUAUCCAGGGUGAGCAAUCUUACUUGAUGGCUAUGACAUCUGACUGGUGGCAUUAUCAAGAGAGUGAUUUCUCUAAAGCAUCAUAUCAUAUUCCUUCAUCAGCUUCCACGUUCCUUGAAUCACGUAAGAGAAGGAAAACAACACCCAUGAAAAUUGAAUAAAUUCGACCUAGUUAUUUCAUGUAAAAGAAAGGAGACAAAAAGCAAACCUCCUCAUUCAUAGGUUGCUAAUAUCAAAGGGUUAAUACAUUAACUACAGAAACUUUUUAGUCGGUGAAAAUAUUUAAUAGUCACAGAAAAUCGUAUCUUACGUAUUUAUUGACAGAUUUGUAAAUCUAUUGAAGUGCUACACUUGUACAAUUUGAAAAAAUUGGGCACUAGCUAAUAUAUGAGUACGAUAGUAAAAUCAUUUUUGAGUCGGUAGUUUACUAACCACGCCUAUAAAAUCUGAAAGACAUCAGUAAUCUUCCGAUCUAUUAAAACGUUGGUAAAUCCUUCUACUUUUCCUUGUAAAUUUGUUAUUAACUCCUUCCAAGAACCACAGCACGAUACCCCUGAAGCAUCGUGUCAAGUUCCACGACCAGAGUCAACAUUCCUUGAACGAACAGUGUUACCUGCUUUAUUUACCUUUCAAAGCAAAACGUGAAUUCGGGGACCCAUUGUUUCUCUCUGCUGCAGUAGUGCAAUGAACGAAUGGAAUUCUGAUAAGUUGCAUCGCUUAACAUCUUUUAGAGUCGAACACCUCGAUUCCUAGAGCUCUGUGAUCUCCACGAGUUUAUGCGAGAUUGACCCCCAUCUUCUCAUUAGAACUUCGAAUUUCCACAGAUGGAGACAAUUUGCUGAGGCUCGAAGGUAAAUUUCUCAUUUGUACACAUUUGCGACUUUCUCCAGUCCCUGAACAUCACGAAGCUUUGAGAAACCUCUAAUGUUCAAAUAUGUCAGGUUAUCGAAGCACGAGAGGCUUGGUAAUGUUAAGUCCUUCGAUAGAUGUUCAAGGCCGUCAAGGUUGCACAACUUUCGGCAUCUAUGUACAAAGAAUCUUGCUAAGGAUUUUGAUGCUUCCAGACCCUUGAUUUCUGUCAGGUCAUUGCAACAAGAAAGAACUAAUCUUGACAAAAAUUCCAAUCUCGACAGACUUGGUAAAUCUUUCAACUCAUUACAAUUGUAAACACAGAGCUCCAACAAUCUAGAGGGAAGCUCCGGCAUGGAUUUCAACAGUUGGCAAAAAUCAACAACGAGCACUUUGUGGGAGUGAUUAAAAAUUGCGACACCUUCUUAACUGAAGGAGUUGUAGAGAAGGCAGAUAAGCGAUGCUUUGCGGCAACGAUUGAAGCAUCUUGCAGUCAUAUAAUUGAAGUUUCUNNNNNNNNNNNNNNNNNNNNNNNNNNNNNNNNNNNNNNNNNNNNNNNNNNNNNNNNNNNNNNNNNNNNNNNNNNNNNNNNNNNNNNNNNNNNNNNNNNNNNNNNNNNNNNNNNNNNNNNNNNNNNNNNNNNNNNNNNNNNNNNNNNNNNNNNNNNNNNNNNNNNNNNNNUCCAUUGGAGAAGCCAGAAAUGCUUGUCCAACCUAAUCGAAGGAUCCUCAGUGACGACAACCCAUCUAUAGGAAUUUCCCCUCUAAGAUUCUUGCAUCUCGUGGCAUCUAAUUCUUCAAGUUUCUCUAAACGAGAAAGAUUAUUGAAUAAUUUGGGGAAGCCAGAAACGCUUGUUCCACUUAAUCGAAGGAUCUUUAGUGAAGACAACCCAUCUAUAGGAAUUUCCCCUUCCAAAUUUUUGCAUUCUCUCACAUCUAAUUCUUCAAGUUUCUCUAGACGAGAAAGCUUAUUGAAUCCAUUGGAGAAGCCAGAAAUGCUUGUAAAACCUAAUCGAAGGAUCCUUAGUGAAGACAACCCAUCUAACAGGAUUUCACCUCCCAGAUUGUUGCAUCCUGGGGCAUUUAAUUCUUCAAGCUUCACAAGACAAGAAAGCUUAUCGAAUCCAUUGGAGAAGCCAGAAAUGCUUGUCCAACCUAAUCGAAGGAUUCUCAGUGACGACAACCCAUCUAUAGGAAUUUCCCCUCUAAGAUUCUUGCAUCUCGUGGCAUCUAAUUCUUCAAGUUUCUCUAAACGAGAAAGAUUAUUGAAUAAGUUGGGGAAGCCAGAAACGCUUGUUCCACUUAAUCGAAGGAUCUUUAGUGAAGACAACCCAUCUAUAGGGAUUUCCCCUUCCAAAUUCUUGCAUUCUCUCACAUCUAAUUCUUCAAGUUUCUCUAGACAAGAAAGCUUAUUGAAUCCAUUGGAGAAGCCAUAAAUGCUUGUCCAACCUAAUCGAAGGAUCUUUAGUGAAAACAACCAAUCUAUAGGGAUUUCCGCUUCCAAAUUCUUGCAUUUACUGACAUCUAAUUCUUCAAGUUUUUCCAGACGAGAAAACUUAUUGAAUAAGUUAGGGAAGCCAGAAACGCUUGUCCCACUUAAUCGAAGGAUUUUCAAUGAAGACAACCCAUCUGUAGGGAUUUUCCCUUCCAAAUUCUUGCAUCCUGUGACAUCUAAUUCUUCAAGUUUCUCAAGACGGGAAAGUUCAUUGAAUCCAUUGGAGAAGCCAGAAAUGUUUGUCCCACCUAAGCGAAGGACCCUCAGUGAAGACAACCCAUCUAUAGAGAUUUCACCUCCUAGAUUCUUGCAUCCUACGGCAUGUAAUUCUUCAAGUUUCUCCAAACAAGAAAGCUUAUUGAAUAAGUUGGGGAAGCCAGAAACGCUUGUUCCACUUAAUUGAAGGAUCUUCAAUGAAGACAACCCAUCUAUAGAGAUUUCCCCUCUCAGAUUCUUGCAUUGUCUCACAUCUAAUUCUUCAAGUUUCUCAAGACGGGAAAGCUCAUUGAAUCCAUUGGAGAAGCCAGAAAUGUUUGUCCCACCUAAGCGAAGGACCCUCAGUGAAGACAACCCAUCUAUAGAGAUUUCCCCACCUAGAUUCUUGCAUCCUACGGCAUGUAAUGCUUCAAGUUUCUCUAAACAAGAAAGCUUAUUGAAUAAGUUGGGGAAGCCAGAAACGCUUGUUCCACUUAAUUGAAGGAUCUUCAAUGAAGACAACCCAUCUAUAGAGAUUUCCCCUCUCAGAUUCUUGCAUUGUCUCACAUCUAAUUCUUCAAGUUUUUCAAGGCGAGAAAGCUUAUUGAAUCCAUUGGAGAAGCCAGAAAUGCUUGUCCAACCUAAUCGAAGGAUCCUUAGUGAAAACAACCCAUCUAUAGGGAUUUCCGCUUCCAAAUUCUUGCAUUUACUGACAUCUAAUUCUUCAAGCUUCACAAGACAAGAAAGCUUAUUAAAUAAGUUAGGGAAGCCAGAAACGCUUGUCCCACUUAAUCGAAGGAUUUUCAGUGAAGACAAUCCAUCUAUAGGAAUUUCCCCUUCUAGAUUCUUGCAUUCCCCGACAUCUAAUUCUUCAAGUUUCUCAAGACGAGAAAACUUAUUGAAUAAGUUAGGGAAGCCAGAAAUGCUUGUCCCACUUAAUCGAAGGAUUUUCAAUGAAGACAACCCAUCUGUAGGGAUUUUCCCUUCCAAAUUCUUGCAUCCUGUGACAUCUAAUUCUUCAAGUUUCUCAAGACGGGAAAGCUCAUUGAAUCCAUUGGAGAAGCCAGAAAUGUUUGUCCCACCUAAGCAAAGGACCCUCAGUGAAGACAACCCAUCUAUAGAGAUUUCCCCUUCCAGAUUCUUGCAUUUGCUAACAUAUAAUUUUUCAAGUUGCUCAAGAUGAGAAAGCUUAUUAAAUAAGUUAGGGAAGCCAGAAAUGUUUGUCCUACUUAAUCGAAGGAUUUUCAGUGAAGAUAACCCACCUAUAGGGAUUUCCCCUUCCAAAUUCUCGCAUCCUGUGACAUCUAAUUCUUCAAGUUUCUCAAGACAAGAAAGCUCAUUGAAUCCAUUGGAGAAGCCAGAAAUGCUUGUCCCACCUAAUCGAAUGAAUCUCAGUGAAGACAACCCAUCCAUAAGAAUUUCCCCUCCUAGAUUCUUGCAUCCUGUGGCAUAUAAUUCUUCAAGUUUCUCUAGACGAGAAAGCUUACUGAAUAAGUCGGGGAAGCCAGAAAUGCUUGACCCACUUAAUCGAAGGAUCUUCAGUGAAGACAACCCAUCUAUAGGGAUUUCCCCUCCCAAACUCUUGCAUCUUGUGACAUUUAAUCUUUCAAGGUUGCCCAACUUGCUAAUAGUACUAGGUAAACUGGUCAAUUUCUCACAACAUUUAAUAUUCAAAAUUUUUAAGUUUUUCAAAUCCCCAAUAGAUUCAGGUAACUGACAAAUGCCUAAAAAUGACAAUUCCAAUGUAGUUAACAAUUUCAAGUUCCCAAUUGAGUUAGGGAUAUGUAAAUCUCCUGAAAACUGCGCUCGGCUUAAGAGUAGCUUUUGCAAGUUCACAAGGGACCCGAUGCUCUCUGGAAGUCUACAUAAUUUCGAGCAAUUAGCUAGGUUAAGGAUUGACAAAUUUUCUAGAUGGCUAAUUGAGCCAGGAAUUCCAACCAAUGAUUCGCAAUCCCUGGCAUCAAGACUCUUCAGCUUCUUCAAAGAGCUUAUACAUGGAGGAAUUUCCUCUAUAGCAGUCUUGUUUAUGUAAAGUUUCUUUAGUUCUUCCAACUUGCCCAUUUCUUGUGGUAGCUCUCGGAGUUUUACACAUCCAUUUAAAUUCAAAAUAUCGAGGCCCUUGACUUCUCCAAUAGAAGGGUGGAUUAGCUGUAAAUGAUCACAUCCUAUGAGGAUUAAUAUCUCUAAAUGUUGAAAGCUCGAGAGAUCAGGAGUAACUCUUAAAUGAGGGGAAUAUGCAAGAUCUAGAACUUUCAAUUUCUUUGCCACCUGCAAAACAAAAUGAUUAGAUAAAUUUUUGUUGCGAGUAAGCCAAUAAAAACAAAAGACAAAAUAAGUUCUUUAUCUGACCUCAAGAUAACUCCAACCUUCCCAAUGCUCUGAAAUGUCACUUCUCCGUAAUACAAGUACCACUAAUUUCUCUAGAUGAAAUUUAGUAGCCACGGAUGGACAUCCGUUCCACAUAAGGAAUCGUAGCUUGGGAAGCAAGAUUUUGGAAUCUCCAAUCAGUUUUGCAUCAGUCACAAUAAGGCAUCUUAAGUUCGGUAGUUUCUCAAAUUGUUCAGUUGUGAAUUCACUCCGCGAGCUAUCUCCUUUGAGAACAAGGACCUGAACGUUAAGAUUUUCAAUUCCCUUCACAAAUGUUGCAUCGAGUUAGCUACACUCAUUACCACUUUACCUUUCUAUAGUUGUCAAGUUGACACUCAGGUGAGAUCAGAUUUUAUCAUCCUAAGCAGUACAAUAGGUCAUUUCAAUGGAAAAAAAUAAACACAAUAAUUAUGUCGAAUGACAACUUAGAAUCAAUCAAUACUAACACCAAGAGCACAAGUAACCACUGAGCAGCAGGGAGUUUAUUGUUUAAACCAAAAGUUUUCUUUUUCUUCUUUUUUUUUUUUUUACCCUAACUUGAUAGAAAACAUCAAUAGAAAACAUCUACCGUGUAUAGAUGCAAAACCCAUUAUUACCUAAUCACAUCAAGGAAAUAAUAUUAGGAGAGUAAUUUCCGUUGUGAGGUCUAACAAUUUAUUCCAACCAAGAUAAUUCAUGUCAAAAGAGAGUAGAACAACGAUAGAGGUUAGAAUUACCUUAUUUCUUUGAAAUAUUUCCAACUUUUUCCCACGGAGGUGCAGCCUACUUCGAUUCAUAGGAGAAUGGUAAUCUUCUUGACGAAUAAUUUCCCUACCAAGGUCUCUCAGUUGAUCAUGCAUUUUCAACAUUCCAUCAUCUCCAAUUUUUAUUAGUGACAUAAAACUCAAUGUUUCAAGCCCCAUAUUCGGAAAAAAAUUACAAGCAUCCCACAUGUAGAAUGCAUAUUUGAAACCAUAUCCCAUAAAGCAAUAAGCAAUAUCCAAAAAUAUCUGUUUUUCCUCAUAGUUUAAUGCAUCGUAACUUAUCCUCAAUUUCUCUUGCACUUUCUCAUGCGGUACUUUCUUUAACUUCUUUAAUGCAUCUUGCCAAGAUGCUUGGUUCUGUCCACACAGAGAUGAACCUAAAACCUCGAGAGCUAAGGGUAGUCCUCCGGUAGUGGACACGAUAGCAUGAGAGAGAGAUUCAAAUUCACAUGGAGGAGAGUCCCUCCUAAAGGCAUGUCUACUGAACAAGAUCAAGGACUCAUCCUUAGC